Long non-coding RNA from Esox lucius (northern pike), 1216 nucleotides. NCBI's taxonomy places the organism in Eukaryota, Metazoa, Chordata, Actinopteri, Esociformes, Esocidae. The record is from Ensembl.
UGUUUUUGUUAAUGUUAUUGAUUGUCAGUGUACUGUUGUCUAUUAUUGUUAUUGUUAUUAUUGUUAUUGCUGUUAUUUUUGCAGCAGGUUGCUUUGGAGCUGUCUUUUCUCAGUUGACCUAGUAUAUGGAUAUUUAUGACAUUGCUUUCGCUCUUUGUUUUGAACUGUGACUGCUUUAGAAGUAUGUAAAUGCAGAGAAGAGGAUACAGAUAUGUACAUGUGCAAUAGAACAACAACGUGGUUCCCUUCCUUUAACCCAGAAUGCCCCUCUGUGUACCUAGAAUGCCCCUGUGUGUCCUAUCUCUGUAUGGGUAGUUAAGCCCGUGUUAGCUAUACCAUUGCUUCAGCAGAAGAUAUGACUGUUAAAUGAUAUUGACUUAAAUGGGAAAGUCUGCGCUGUGUAGGCCAUUUCUUUGGAAACAACUCUUAUUGUGUGGGCUGUUAAAGGACCUUAUUAUGGUCUAUGUGUCUUUUUCUGCCCCCCCCCCCCGUCUCUCCAACUUUCUCUUAUCAUAUUUCUAUAAUUGUUUCCUCUGCUAAGCAACAAAGCAGGCUCUGUUGUCAUGGCAACAAUCGAGCAGGCUUAAGAUUUGUCUCUUUAAGGAGCACCAGUCACAGUGGGGUGUCGAAAGAAUAUUUUCCAAUUAUCCGUACCUGAAUACAGCUUGUGCGGGUGCAUGUGAGUCUGAGUGCUUUUCGGCAAGUGUGCUUUUUGUAGUAAAAUACCCUGAAAUUCAGCCAUUUGAGGACUAGUUUGUUAUCCUAAUUUUCACACUUUUUUAUUUAAAUCUUCUUUACAUAAAAAAAUAAAACGUACCAGAAGAUUGUCUUGGGGCAUUGAUUUUAAUACUGUAAAAGAGAAGUAAGGAUGAAAUUGAGGGCAUGCCACAAUCGCCAAGAAGCUGUAAACCGUACCCACUUUCAUUGAGGGAUUAGAAAAAUGUAAAGGUUUAUUUAGCUAAAGAAAAUUUCUAUAUAUAUAUAUAUAUAUGAAUUAAAUUCUAUGAAUGCAUACUUUCUGUGCUAUUUUCCUAUGGGGGUUCAUUUCACACUAAUUAUGUAGAAUGGAACAGAAUCUCAAGUGCUUUUUACUACAGUCUAACUUAUUUCUUUGAAUUUCAUUUUUACUACCUGUGUUCUUUUGUAAUAAAAUAUAGGAAAAGCACUGUUUAUUAAAAUUUUACAAUACUCAUGAAAGAAGUGUUUCUCGUUCUUU